This 369-nucleotide long non-coding RNA is filed under the name Rattus norvegicus (Norway rat). RNAcentral's name for it is "long non-coding RNA NONRATT010241". Lineage: Eukaryota; Metazoa; Chordata; Mammalia; Rodentia; Muridae. The record is from RNAcentral.
UAGCUAUAGUUGGCAGGCGGUUGUAAGUGCUCCAGAGUCUUCAUUACCUGCCGCUCCAGUCGUCUUCGCGUGGGUUCCGCUAAGCUCUUCUGAGCUGCCCGCUCUCUACACACGCCGUCGCCGUAAUCCGCCAUCAUGGUGAAACUCGCAAAGGCCGGCAAAACCCACGGAGAGUCCAAGAAAAUGGCUCCUCCUCCAAAGGAGGUGGAAGAAGAUAGUGAGGAUGAAGAAAUGUCAGAAGAUGAAGAUGACAGCAGUGGAGAAGAGGAGGUUGUCAUCCCUCAGAAGAAAGGCAAAAAGGCUACCACAACUCCAGCAAAGAAGGUGGUUGUUUCACAAACAAAAAAGGCUGCAGUUCCCACACCAGCU